This 113-nucleotide ribosomal RNA is filed under the name Lupinus angustifolius (narrow-leaved blue lupine). Lineage: Eukaryota; Viridiplantae; Streptophyta; Magnoliopsida; Fabales; Fabaceae. The record is from RNAcentral.
AUGUGCGAUCAUACCAGCACUAAUGCACUGGAGUAUACUCUACAGCUAAGCGUGUUCGGGCGAGAGUAGUAUUAGGAUGGGUGACCUCUUGGGAAGUCCUCGUGUUGCACCUC